Molecule: ribosomal RNA, 525 nt
Filed under: Triticum aestivum (bread wheat)
Lineage: Eukaryota; Viridiplantae; Streptophyta; Magnoliopsida; Poales; Poaceae
Description: partial small subunit ribosomal RNA
Source: RNAcentral
AUGCGUGCAGGCAUAGAGGAGGUCUUUCCGUUGGCAGUGCACAGGCACUGCAGGUGGCACAUAAUAAAGAAGGCUGAGGGGACCCUAGGACCGUUCUUUGCUGACCGUCCAGAGCUGCACAAGGCAUUCGAGCUCUGUGUGGACCACAGCUUGACGGUGGAGGAGUUUGAGAGGAGCUGGAUGGCCAUGGUUGAAACGCAUCAAGUCCAAGACAAUGAGACGCUUGCUAGUCUGUGGGAGAAGCGAAUGUACUGGGUGCCCGCCUACUUCAUGCAGUGCUUCUUCCCUUUUCUAUAGACUACGCAGCGCAGCGAGGGGUUCAAUGCUGUGCUGAAGCGAUACGUGAGCCCUGGCAACUCAUUGCUACAGUUUGCCAAGCAGUACACAGCUCUGCAACAAAAAAUUCUAGGAUUUGAGCUCCAGCAAGAAGCUACCACCGCGCUAAAGCAGCCGAAAUUGCUAACGUACUUACCAAUGGAGAGGCAAAUGAGCAAGAUAUACACAAACAAGAUCUUUAACAAGUAA